RNAcentral lists this ribosomal RNA (847 nucleotides) under Acinetobacter sp. OL7. RNAcentral's name for it is "bacterial SSU rRNA". It matches the Rfam family "Bacterial small subunit ribosomal RNA", at positions 18 to 859 of the family's 1533-position model. Lineage: Bacteria; Pseudomonadati; Pseudomonadota; Gammaproteobacteria; Moraxellales; Moraxellaceae. The record is from RNAcentral.
CAUGGCUCAGAUUGAACGCUGGCGGCAGGCUUAACACAUGCAAGUCGAGCGGAGAGAGGUAGCUUGCUACUGAUCUUAGCGGCGGACGGGUGAGUAAUACUUAGGAAUCUGGCUAUUAGUGGGGGACAACAUUUCGAAAGGGAUGCUAAUACCGCAUACGUCCUACGGGAGAAAGCAGGGGAUCUUCGGACCUUGCGCUAAUAGAUGAGCCUAAGUCGGAUUAGCUAGUUGGUGGGGUAAAGGCCUACCAAGGCGACGAUCUGUAGCGGGUCUGAGAGGAUGAUCCGCCACACUGGGACUGAGACACGGCCCAGACUCCUACGGGAGGCAGCAGUGGGGAAUAUUGGACAAUGGGGGGAACCCUGAUCCAGCCAUGCCGCGUGUGUGAAGAAGGCCUUAUGGUUGUAAAGCACUUUAAGCGAGGAGGAGGGUACUGGUAUUAAUACUACCAGGUACUGGACGUUACUCGCAGAAUAAGCACCGGCUAACUCUGUGCCAGCAGCCGCGGUAAUACAGAGGGUGCGAGCGUUAAUCGGAUUUACUGGGCGUAAAGCGUGCGUAGGCGGCUAAUUGAGUCGGAUGUGAAAUCCCCGAGCUUAACUUGGGAAUUGCAUUCGAUACUGGUUAGCUAGAGUGUGGGAGAGGAUGGUAGAAUUCCAGGUGUAGCGGUGAAAUGCGUAGAGAUCUGGAGGAAUACCGAUGGCGAAGGCAGCCAUCUGGCCUAACACUGACGCUGAGGUACGAAAGCAUGGGGAGCAAACAGGAUUAGAUACCCUGGUAGUCCAUGCCGUAAACGAUGUCUACUAGCCGUUGGUCUCUUUGAGGGAUUAGUGGCGCAGCUAACGCG